RNAcentral lists this ribosomal RNA (251 nucleotides) under uncultured bacterium. RNAcentral describes it as "partial 16S ribosomal RNA". It matches the Rfam family "Bacterial small subunit ribosomal RNA", at positions 15 to 273 of the family's 1533-position model. The record is from RNAcentral.
GAUCCUGGCUCAGGACGAACGCUGGCGGCGUGCCUAACACAUGCAAGUCGAGCGGGGUUAUAUAAGAAGCUUGCUUUGAAUAUAACCAAGUGGCGGACGGGUGAGUAACGCGUGAGGACCUGUCUCCGGCAGGGGGACAACAUUUGGAAACGGAUGCUAAUACCGCAUAAUCCGAGAGGUGAAAGGAGCAAUCCGGCAGGAGAGGGACUCGCGUUCUAUCAGCUAGUAGGCGGGGUAAAGGCCCACCUAGG